Molecule: microRNA, 21 nt
Filed under: Lotus japonicus
Lineage: Eukaryota; Viridiplantae; Streptophyta; Magnoliopsida; Fabales; Fabaceae
Description: lja-miR11087-3p
Source: miRBase by way of RNAcentral
AAAAUAUGAACCCAACCCGGC